UCACUUACAGAUGGACCCGCGGCGCAUUAGCUAGUUGGUGGGGUAAUGGCUCACCAAGGCGACGAUGCGUAGCCGACCUGAGAGGGUGAUCGGCCACACUGGGACUGAGACACGGCCCAGACUCCUACGGGAGGCAGCAGUAGGGAAUCUUCCGCAAUGGACGAAAGUCUGACGGAGCAACGCCGCGUGAGUGAUGAAGGUUUUCGGAUCGUAAAGCUCUGUUGUUAGGGAAGAACAAGUGCGAGAGUAACUGCUCGCACCUUGACGGUACCUAACCAGAAAGCCACGGCUAACUACGUGCCAGCAGCCGCGGUAAUACGUAGGUGGCAAGCGUUGUCCGGAAUUAUUGGGCGUAAAGGGCUCGCAGGCGGUUUCUUAAGUCUGAUGUGAAAGCCCCCGGCUCAACCGGGGAGGGUCAUUGGAAACUGGGAAACUUGAGUGCAGAAGAGGAGAGUGGAAUUCCACGUGUAGCGGUGAAAUGCGUAGAGAUGUGGAGGAACACCAGUGGCGAAGGCGACUCUCUGGUCUGUAACUGACGCUGAGGAGCGAAAGCGUGGGGAGCGAACAGGAUUAGAUACCCUGGUAGUCCACGCCGUAAACGAUGAGUGCUAAGUGUUAGGGGGUUUCCGCCCCUUAGUGCUGCAGCUAACGCAUUAAGCACUCCGCCUGGGGAGUACGGUCGCAAGACUGAAACUCAAAGGAAUUGACGGGGGCCCGCACAAGCGGUGGAGCAUGUGGUUUAAUUCGAAGCAACGCGAAGAACCUUACCAGGUCUUGACAUCCUCUGACAACCCUAGAGAUAGGGCUUUCCCUUCGGGGACAGAGUGACAGGUGGUGCAUGGUUGUCGUCAGCUCGUGUCGUGAGAUGUUGGGUUAAGUCCCGCAACGAGCGCAACCCUUGAUCUUAGUUGCCAGCAUUCAGUUGGGCACUCUAAGGUGACUGCCGGUGACAAACCGGAGGAAGGUGGGGAUGACGUCAAAUCAUCAUGCCCCUUAUGACCUGGGCUACACACGUGCUACAAUGGACAGAACAAAGGGCUGCAAGACCGCAAGGUUUAGCCAAUCCCAUAAAUCUGUUCUCAGUUCGGAUCGCAGUCUGCAACUCGACUGCGUGAAGCUGGAAUCGCUAGUAAUCGCGGAUCAGCAUGCCGCGGUGAAU
RNAcentral lists this ribosomal RNA (1159 nucleotides) under Bacillus safensis. Its description in RNAcentral is "bacterial SSU rRNA". It matches the Rfam family "Bacterial small subunit ribosomal RNA", at positions 215 to 1367 of the family's 1533-position model. Lineage: Bacteria; Bacillati; Bacillota; Bacilli; Caryophanales; Bacillaceae. The record is from RNAcentral.